Naganishia friedmannii is the source of this 103-nucleotide non-coding RNA. The record is from the annotation of a GenBank genome assembly. NCBI's taxonomy places the organism in Eukaryota, Fungi, Basidiomycota, Tremellomycetes, Filobasidiales, Filobasidiaceae.
GGCGCUUUGCCGGAGUGGUUAACGGGUGCCCCUGCUAUUCAGCUUUCAAGCUCAGCACAGGGUAUGGUCUUUGACCGCGUGUGUUCGAAUCGCACAGGCGUCG